GUCGAACGAAGCACUCUUUUAGAUUUCCUUCGGGGAAGAAGAAAUUGUGACUGAGUGGCGGACGGGUGAGUAACGCGUGGGCAACCUGCCCCAUACAGGGGGAUAACAGCCGGAAACGGCUGCUAAAACCGCAUAAGCGCACAAGGGCCGCAUGGCCUGGUGUGAAAAACUCCGGUGGUAUGGGAUGGGCCCGCGUCUGAUUAGCUAGUUGGCGGGGGAGAGGCCCACCAAGGCGACGAUCAGUAGCCGACCUGAGAGGGUGGCCGGCCACAUUGGGACUGAGACACGGCCCAAACUCCUACGGGAGGCAGCAGUGGGGAAUAUUGCACAAUGGGGGAAACCCUGAUGCAGCGACGCCGCGUGAGCGAAGAAGUAUUUCGGUAUGUAAAGCUCUAUCAGCAGGGAAGAAAAAUGACGGUACCUGAGUAAGAAGCACCGGCUAAAUACGUGCUAGCAGCCGCGGUAAUACGUAUGGUGCAAGCGUUAUCCGGAUUUACUGGGUGUAAAGGGAGCGCAGGCGGUGCGGCAAGUCUGAUGUGAAAGCCCGGGGCUCAACCCCGGGACUGCAUUGGAAACUACCGAACUAGAGUGUCGGAGAGGUAAGUGGAAUUCCUAGUGUAGCGGUGAAAUGCGUAGAUAUUAGGAGGAACACCAGUGGCGAAGGCGGCUUACUGGACGAUAACUGACGCUGAGGCUCGAAAGCGUGGGGA
This 710-nucleotide ribosomal RNA is filed under the name uncultured bacterium. RNAcentral describes it as "bacterial SSU rRNA". It matches the Rfam family "Bacterial small subunit ribosomal RNA", at positions 61 to 767 of the family's 1533-position model. The record is from RNAcentral.